GAUGAACGCUAGCGGCAGGCUUAAUACAUGCAAGUCGUGGGGCAGCAGGAAUAGCAAUAUUUGCUGGCGACCGGCAAACGGGUGCGUAACACGUACACAACCUUCCUUGAAGUGGGGAAUAGCCUAAAGAAAUUUGGAUUAAUACCCCGUAAUAUAUAGAAAAGGCAUCUUUUUUAUAUUAUAGCCCUCGGGCGCUUGAUGAUGGGUGUGCGGCUGAUUAGGUAGUUGGCGGGGUAACGGCCCACCAAGCCUUCGAUCAGUAGCUGAUGUGAGAGCAUGAUCAGCCACACGGGCACUGAGACACGGGCCCGACUCCUACGGGAGGCAGCAGUAAGGAAUAUUGGUCAAUGGGCGAAAGCCUGAACCAGCCAUGCCGCGUGGAGGAUGAAGGUCCUCUGGAUUGUAAACUUCUUUUAUUUGGGACGAAAAAAGGGAAUUCUUUCUCACUUGACGGUACCAGAUGAAUAAGCACCGGCUAACUCCGUGCCAGCAGCCGCGGUAAUAUGGAGGGUGCAAGCGUUAUCCGGAUUCACUGGGUUUAAAGGGUGCGUAGGCGGGCAGGUAAGUCAGUGGUGAAAUCUUUGGGCUUAACCCGAAAACUGCCAUUGAUACUAUCUGUCUUGAAUAUUGUGGAGGUUUGCGGAAUAUGUCAUGUAGCGGUGAAAUGCUUAGAGAUGACAUAGAACACCUAUUGCGAAGGCAGCAAACUACGCAUAUAUUGACGCUGAGGCACGAAAGCGUGGGGAUCAAACAGGAUUAGAUACCCUGGUAGUCCNCNCCCUAAACGAUGGAUNCUCGACAUNCGCGAUNCACUGUGUGUGUCUGAGCGAAAGCGUUAAGUAUCCCACCUGGGAAGUACGACCGCAAGGUUG
RNAcentral lists this ribosomal RNA (872 nucleotides) under uncultured bacterium. RNAcentral's name for it is "bacterial SSU rRNA". It matches the Rfam family "Bacterial small subunit ribosomal RNA", at positions 28 to 896 of the family's 1533-position model. The record is from RNAcentral.